This 639-nucleotide ribosomal RNA is filed under the name Humicola fuscoatra. RNAcentral describes it as "SSU rRNA". It matches the Rfam family "Eukaryotic small subunit ribosomal RNA", at positions 567 to 1210 of the family's 1831-position model. The record is from RNAcentral. Lineage: Eukaryota; Fungi; Ascomycota; Sordariomycetes; Sordariales; Chaetomiaceae.
UCAGCAGCCCCGCGGUAAUUCCAGCUCCAAUAGCGUAUAUUAAAGUUGUUGAGGUUAAAAAGCUCGUAGUUGAACCUUGGGCCUAGCCGGCCGGUCCGCCUCACCGCGUGCACUGGCUCGGCUGGGCCUUUCCUUCUGGAGAACCGCAUGCCCUUCACUGGGUGUGCCGGGGAACCAGGACUUUUACUCUGAAUAAAUUAGAUCGCUUAAAGAAGGCCUAUGCUCGAAUACAUUAGCAUGGAAUAAUAGAAUAGGACGUGUGGUUCUAUUUUGUUGGUUUCUAGGACCGCCGUAAUGAUUAAUAGGGACAGUCGGGGGCAUCAGUAUUCAAUUGUCAGAGGUGAAAUUCUUGGAUUUAUUGAAGACUAACUACUGCGAAAGCAUUUGCCAAGGAUGUUUUCAUUAAUCAGGAACGAAAGUUAGGGGAUCGAAGACGAUCAGAUACCGUCGUAGUCUUAACCAUAAACUAUGCCGAUUAGGGAUCGGACGGCGUUAUUUUUUGACCCGUUCGGCACCUUACGAUAAAUCAAAAUGUUUGGGCUCCUGGGGGAGUAUGGUCGCAAGGCUGAAACCUAAAGAAAUUGACGGAAGGGCACCACCAGGGGUGGAGCCUGCGGCUUAAUUUGACUCAACACGGGA